GACUUAAAAUCCGUUGGCUUUAUAGACCUUGAGGGUUCAAGUGCCCUCUACCCCC
This 55-nucleotide transfer RNA is filed under the name Jubula hutchinsiae subsp. javanica. Its description in RNAcentral is "partial transfer RNA-Leu". Lineage: Eukaryota; Viridiplantae; Streptophyta; Jungermanniopsida; Porellales; Jubulaceae. The record is from RNAcentral.